AGAGCGAACGCUGGCGGCAGGCCUAAUACAUGCAAGUCGAACGCACCUUCGGGUGAGUGGCGGACGGGUGAGUAACACGUGGGAACGUGCCUUUGGUUCGGAAUAAUCCGGGGAAACCUGGCCUAAUACCGAAUGUGCCCCCUCCUUUAACCAGGGGGGUGGGAAAGAUUUAUCGCCAUUAGAGCGGCCCGCGUCUGAUUAGCCAGUUGGUGAGGUGAUGGCCCACCAAGGCUACGAUCAGUAGCUGGUCUGAGAGGAUGAUCAGCCACACUGGGACUGAGACACGGCCCAGACUCCUACGGGAGGCAGCAGUAGGGAAUCUUGCGCAAUGGGCGAAAGCCUGACGCAGCCAUGCCGCGUGAAUGAUGAAGGUCUUAGGAUUGUAAAAUUCUUUCAGCGGGAAGAUAAUGACUGUACCCGCAGAAGAAGCUCCGGCUAACUUCGCGCCAGCAGCCGC
Molecule: ribosomal RNA, 457 nt
Filed under: uncultured bacterium
Lineage: Bacteria
Description: SSU rRNA
Rfam family: Bacterial small subunit ribosomal RNA
Source: RNAcentral